Molecule: ribosomal RNA, 473 nt
Filed under: uncultured bacterium
Lineage: Bacteria
Description: partial 16S ribosomal RNA
Rfam family: Bacterial small subunit ribosomal RNA
Source: RNAcentral
UGGGGAAUAUUGCACAAUGGGCGCAAGCCUGAUGCAGCCAUGCCGCGUGUGUGAAGAAGGCCUUCGGGUUGUAAAGCACUUUCAGCGAGGAGGAAGGCGUUAAGGUUAAUAACCUUAGCGAUUGACGUUACUCGCAGAAGAAGCACCGGCUAACUCCGUGCCAGCAGCCGCGGUAAUACGGAGGGUGCAAGCGUUAAUCGGAAUUACUGGGCGUAAAGCGCACGCAGGCGGUUUGUUAAGUCAGAUGUGAAAUCCCCGAGCUUAACUUGGGAACUGCAUUUGAAACUGGCAAGCUAGAGUCUUGUAGAGGGGGGUAGAAUUCCAGGUGUAGCGGUGAAAUGCGUAGAGAUCUGGAGGAAUACCGGUGGCGAAGGCGGCCCCCCUGGACAAAGACUGACGCUCAGGUGCGAAAGCGUGGGGCAGCAAACAGGAUUAGAUACCCUGGUAGUCCAGCGCUGUAAAACGAUGUCGAC